This 7668-nucleotide long non-coding RNA is filed under the name Homo sapiens (human). RNAcentral describes it as "HSALNT0343605". The record is from RNAcentral. Lineage: Eukaryota; Metazoa; Chordata; Mammalia; Primates; Hominidae.
UUACUAAUAAGUAUAACUACCAAUUGGAGGCAUUUCAGUGUAAUUGAUCUGAACACUUUGAAAUGGUCUCAGUGCUGGAUUUCUUCCACCAAGGCGCAAUUUCCUUAGAUCCUGCUUAUUAGCUUUUUUUACAUGUUAAGCAACUAUCUAUAACUUGUUUGGCCAGGGUGUAAAUUCUUAUACACCCAUAAACCCGGAGAACUGCAUUGCACAUUGCUUGGGGUCCCCAAUGGGUCCCUUGAUGUAAUUGAGACAAGACUUCCCUCAUGAGAGGUUUUGACAACAUUUCCCUUUGAUCUGAUAAUAUCCAUUUCCUAUCCGCAUUUUCUUUAGCUCCUAUUUUUAUCAACGUCUUUUGUUCAAUGGAAGAGAAAACGGGUUACAGUAGGAGGAGGGCAUGGAGUUAAAUGGAAGAAAUGGCAACUUGUUUUGCUAUUUUAUUGUAACCGACUGAGUUAUAGAGAGAAUGCCACAGUCUGAGACUAAUUCAGUGAUCCUUUAUUGCCAGCAACCGAGAGACGGCUAGAGCUCAAAAUUCUCUCAGCCCCGAAGAAGGGGCUACACAUCUUUUUACACCUUGGUCUAAAGAGGGGAGGAGGAGUGUAGCUGAAGCAAUUUUUUACAGAAGCAGAACAGGCAAAAAAGUUGAAAGAUAAAUGGUUACAGAAACAGUAAUAAGAAAAUAAACAGUUCCAGGUGCAGGGGCUUAAAUUAUCACAAAGUGAUAAACGCAAAGGCUUUGGGCACCGUCAACCGAGUGCGUUCCCAGGAGCUGCUGGUACAGCUUGCCUCAGUAUCUUAUCAGUAAGCGCAUUCUUGGAUGUGCUUGGAGUCAGCUUGCACCAGUUAUGUCCUUAAGGGAGGGGGACAAGGGGCUGCAAGUGAAGAAACCAAAAUGGAGUCUGUCCAGCUCUCUCAGCUAAGAGAGAGUCAAUCAGGUUAAAAGAAGUUAGGGUAUCACAUUUCCCACUCGUGUUUGGGGGAAUCAGAUCAUUGAUUCCUCGGUUAUAACAAGGGUGUUAUAUUGGGUUCUAAGAUACAUAAGAUUGACAGAAGCUAUGCGUUGCUUUACAAAAUUAAGAAACCAAUUUAAUAUACAAGGCCUGAAGACUAACCCUAACAAGAGGAGGAGAAGGGGGUCCCGCCAACCCAGUAAUUAGAGUAGUUAGCCAGGGAUUCCAGUUAAACAUGCUUUGGUACUUUGGUACUCCAGGAAUGAGAAAGGUGGUGUUACUUUCUUGUUCCUUCUGGCAUCUAUCUAGAUUUUCUCGAACUCUUUGAAGAGUAUUUUUUAUGACUCCAGACUGAUUGGCAUAGAAACAACAACUUUCUUCUAGAGCUGUGCAUAAACCUCCUUGGGAGAUAAAUAGCAGAUCUAAGCCUCGGCGGUUUUGAAGAACUACUUCAGCUAGAGACUCUACCUGGGCAUGUAGUAUAUUUAUGGCUGAUUGGAGAUUGCUUAAAUCAGCAUCUACCUGUUGAGAUAGUGAUAUUAGUCCAGUUUCUCCUUGAAUCAGGGCAGUCGUGCCAAUAGCUGCUGACGUAGCUAUGCUAAGGCCAGCUAGAAGGGGUACAAGGAGUAGGGCAGCUCGGUGAAACCUGAAAUGCAAUUCAGGGGGAGCAAUGAGAAGUUGUCCUUCUGGCCCACUGUACAUGUAGAUCUGGGGGAGUACAUGAAUCAACAUGCAUAGGAGAGGUCCAGGUUCAGUCCCAUUGAUGCAGCGAGUGAGGCCUGAAAUGCAGGCCAACCAGGUAUUUUUGGGUGCCUGGUAGGAGACUGAGGGGUUUAAGGAAGUAAGGAGAGACUCACUACAAGUAGCCUGAAAGGGAGAAGCAGGUAAGUUAUACCUUGCGCUAAUUAGACAGAAGGCAUUCCCUGACACAUCUCCUAGUGUAAGGGCAUGGGGGCACGUAUGACAAGAAAGAGAGUCCAUUUUGAGCAUGGCUUCUACUCCUAAUCCAACAUAAUAUGGGGGUUUGGCCUUUCGGCACAACCAGCAAUCUCAGGCUAGUUUAGGCUUGGUGAGAUUAAGGAGGUGAUGUAUCCCGUCCAAAAUGGACAUCGGGCUGGGUUGGAGGUAUUGUCAUUGCAGCUGGGGUCUCAGAACCAGGAAUGGCAGUGGGACAGUUAAAUCGACUCUCUCUGGGUGUUUUUGGAACAUAGGGUCACCUAAAUCAGUUAAAGUUCUGAUUGGCUUCAUGGGACCAGGAAUUUUUUCUGGAUGGUGAACAUAGUUCCAACAUCAAAUCCUGAAAUAUAAAGCCUUAAUCCCUAUGACAUGCUGUAAUACCAUUGAGUUAAACUAGGGUUACGGAGAGUUAUAGUAAGAGGAUUACAAUUUCCUAUAGUACACGGCUUAGGAUGGGAAGCACAAGCUAUGGAAAGGGUUGAGGAUCAGGUUCAUCCUCCAGAGUAAGUGGCCAAGGUUACACACAUGCAGUAAGGGCAGAAAAACUGGUAAGAAUCUCGACAACUAGAGUCAGGGCGAUUUCCAGGACAAAGGUAAAAGUCAACGCUCUGGAGCCUUUUUUCUGCACCCUUAGAACUUCCACAUCCAGUUUGGCUUCUGGUGUGUCCGAACCCUGCAGCAAGGUCAGCGUUCCCUGCUCUCAUGAUCGGCAGAUUGCAUUGCUCUUCAAGGGUAUGGGCAGGGUCGGGGAACAAAGCACAUAAACCGACUACAAAAGAGACUUCCUUGGAGGGUCCCACCUUCCAAGUGGUGUUUGCAAACACACAUCCUGUCAUGAAGGAAGUGAGGAGAAAAGAGUAGGAAGGGGCAGAGGACAUAACAGGUGGAAACAGACAGAAGAGGUAAAUAAAAAGAAUUAAUUCGAUAGCUUUACUCAACUUAGGCGCAGUUUUAAGGGGCCUGGCCUAGGCUUGGGGACCCAUUUUUUUUGCUGGGCUUUGUUGGCCUUUUUGAUGCGAGAAUGAUGAAUCCAAGCAGGAGUGCCGUCCACCUUCAGAGCUGUUGGUGUGGUGAGGAUGACAGUAUGAGGUCCUUUCCAGGCAGGAGUCAGUCCUUUUUUCUGGAACUUUUUAACAUACACUAGGUCACCCAGCUGGAAAGAGUGGCAGGGCCCAGUCUGGUCAGGAACUGGGCUGGGGUGUGCUCCCCUGACAAGCAGCUGGAUGAUGUCUUGUACCCGUUGGAGAGACUGCAGGUACUGUAACAAGUUAGCUUGUGAGAUUUCUGCUAAAUGGGUAUCCUUUAGCUUAGGCAAGAUAGGCGGAGCCCUUCCAUACAUGAUUUCAAAAGGUGAAAACCCAGCCUGGUAAGGGGUGCAUCUUACUCUAAGAAGGGCUAAAGGAAGGAGCUUUACCUAGUUUUCACUGGUUUCUAGGAUUAAUUUUGCAAGAGUACUUUUUAGGAUGGGGUUCAUGCAUUCUACUUGUCCAGAGCUCUGGGGUCGAUAGGCACAAUGGAGUUUCCAUUGAAUGUUUAAUGCCUUGCUGACCGACUGAGCUAUGGACGAGGUGAAGGCUGGUCCAUUAUCAGACCUUAUUACAACAGGCAGUCCAUGUUGAGGGAUGAUUUCAUUGAGUAAAAGCUUAACUACCGUGGUAGCAGUUUCGUUUUUGGUGGCAAAUGCCUCAGUCCAUCCAGAAAAGGUGUCUACUAGCACCAGGAGGUAUUUAUACCCUGCCAAGUGUGGUUUUACCUCUGUAAAGUCAAUUUCCCACCUUCCUCCUGGCAAGCCUCCCUGGAGGCGGUGGCCUGGGCUGGGCUUAGGACCUUGCUUGGUGUUUACUUGGGCACAAGCCGUUUACUGGAGAGCUGCUUGGUUAGUUAAGUCCUGAAGGUGGGGGAUCUUGAAAUGGCUCCUUAGAAGCUGGGCCAGUUUUACUCCUCCUAAAUGGGUGGUAGAAUGUAGAUGAUUGAUAAAAGUUUCCCCAAGGGCUUGGGGCAUGAAGAUUCUGGAAUCAGGAAGAAUUCACCAACCUUCCUGAUUUUUACUGGCUUGAAGAUCCGAAGCUUGUUUUUCUUCCUCUGGGGAGUAUUCUGGGUAGUCUGCCCAGUCAGUUGUGGAAAGGACACAGAGGGCAGCAGGGUUAAAGGCACGACCAGGAGCUGAGCUGCCUCUCAAGCUGCAGAGUCUGCUCUUUGGUUACCACGAGCAAUGGCCAUGUCUUCUCUUUGAUGUCCUUUGCAGUGAAUUGCAGCCACCUGUUGAGGGAGCCAAACAGCUUCAAGCAGGGCUAAAAUUUCUUCUUUGUUGUUGACACUCUUUCCUGCUGAGGUGAGUAGCCCUCGCUCUUGAUAGAUGGCUCUGUGUACAUGUACAGUAGCAAAAGCAUACCUGCUGUCAGUGUAGAUGUUAAUACAUUUGUCUUUACCCUAUUGGAGGGCCUGAGUCAGGGUUACCAACUCAGUCCUCUGUGCCAAGGUACCUGCCGGCAGUGCCUGGGCCUACAGUACAUCUGUCUCCAUAGUAAUGGCCACACCAGCCUUCUGUACUCCCUGUUCAAGGAAGCUGCUACCAUCUGUAAACACGGUGGCAUCCACCUCCUUUAGAGGCACAUCUUGGAGAUGAGGUCAGCCAGUUUCCAUAGUUUCUAACAGUUCUUGGCAGUCAUGGACAGGUGUGGUAAGGUCUGGAUCAGGGAACAAGGUAGCUGGAUUUAAACACCUUGUGGGAGAGAAAGUUAAACGCGGCUGAUCUAACAGUAAACUCUGAUACCGCAAGAUGCGAGCAUUCGACAUCCAUUUGCCAGAAGCACUUUGUAGCAAGGUCUCUACAGCAUGAGGAGCCGUAAGGGUUAAAUUCUGGCCCAGAGUCAGUUUAUCAGCCUCCUGGACCUGGCUUGCUGUUGCCACUAUGGCUCACAGACAACUUGGCCACCCAGAGGCCACAGGGUCCAGUCUCUUAGACAAAUAGGCCACUGGGUGUUGCCAUGGCCCUAAAGUCUGAGUAAGUACCCCUUUAGCGACUCCUUGGUUUUCAUGAACAAAAAGGUGAAAUGGUUUUGAGAUAUUUGGGAGGGCAAGAGCAGGGGCCUCAGUUAGUGCCUUCUUCAGAUUUUGAAAAGCCUGUUCUUCUUUGUCAGUCCAAACCAGCGGGGUAUUCCCUCCAGUAGUGGUGUACAGGGGUUUGGCAAUUUCCAUGAACCCCAAUAUCUAUAGGCGACCAUAUCCCACGGUGCCCAGGAAUUCAUGUACCUGUCUCUUAGUGGUGGGAGUGGGGAUUUGAAGGAUGGCUGCCUUUCGAGCACUGGUGAGUGCCCUUUUUCCUUCAUUUGUCUCAUACCCUAGGUAGGAAAUGCUGGGAAGAAAAAGCUGGGCCUUCUUGGCUGGGACCUGAUACCCGAAUUCCUGAAGGAGUCCUGUACAGGCUGGUAAUCAUUUGUUCCGGGUUUCUGGACCGGCAAAAAUGGAAUAUUCCAGGCGAUCUCACAUGGUAUAUGGUCCCUCUCUUCAGAGGUGAAAAGGGAUGAAAGGAGUUGCUGACACUCAUCCCAGGUGGGCCGGUGAGUCUGGAGCACAGACUCCAUCAGUGAGGUUAAGACCUGGGGCUUUUCAGAAAAGGGGGGAUUAUGAGCCUUCCAGUUGUACAGGUCAGAAGUAGAGAAGGGGACAUAAACUAAAAAUGGAGCACAACGCCCACUGCCCAAAGGGAUUUGGGCCUCUGUCAGUGGGAGGAGCGGGGCCACCUCCUCCGGCUGAGGCCAUAAUUGGGAGGAUAUAGGCAGAGAGGCCACAGAGGAUGUAGUUGAGGAGACAAGGGAAGAUUCUGGGGGAGGAGGAGGGUUAUAGGGUGGUGGAAAUGGGUGAAGAAAACUUUCCUCUUCUUCAGAAGGAGGCAGUACAGGAGGAAUCGAGGGAGCUGAGGGUGGAGGCAAAAGUGAGGUCUGGCUAAAAAGGACCUUGGAGGUAGGAUCACGAAUGGCUACAGAGUUUUAUCACGAGUGGAGCCAUGAAGGAGAGCUCUGGACUAAAUCUAGCCAUUGAUCAAUGUAGGGAAACUGAUCGGGGUGACCGGGAGUUCCAACAACGACCCACCACACAGCCUGAACAGCUGUGAAGUGUAGUGACCCGUCUGGGGGCCACCCAGUUCCAAACUUUGGCCAUUCUACUUCGCAGAGUGUCCAGAGUUUGCCUUUUUUAAGGCGGACCCCGUAAUCAUCUGAGAAGCCUAGAGAGAAAUUCUGCAACAUACACUGGAGAGGACUCCAAUCUUUAUGGGGCCGGGAAGAAGAGUUUACUAUUCUGGAGGCAAUUAACAAGGUUUGAACAAAAAUAUUAAACCCAGCAUGGACAAAGAUAUUCACGGCCUGGGAGGCUAUGGUAUCAGAAGAACAGAAGUAUUAUAGCUAGAAGAAGUAGGAAAACAACUAUAGCCAAUAUUUCUUGCCACAUAAGGUCUGUCUCCUCAAGCUUCGAGAUCUAUGGAGAGGAUAAGAGGUGGGUCCAAGGGAUCCUCAGCCAGUGGGACUUAGGUGACCCCCCCUUCUUGACUUAUAUCCCAAAUAACUUUGGUGUCUCCACGACUCGAAAGCAAAAUGUUCAAACUCGGUCCUUUCCUUCACGGGUUUAAGGAGGGAGAACACAGCCAAGUCUUAGAGACGCUGGACUUGCUGCAACACAGGAAAAUGAGAUGUGCAGGGUAAGGGAUGGGGAUGAGGAGGAAAGGGGCCACUUGGAUUUCCCUAAAGGUUGGAGAGUAGCCAAAAGAGGUAAAAUAAGAGUCCAGACAGAGUAGAGCAGUAUGGGUGUAGGUUUCUCUGCACAGUGCCUUAUUUAAGGGCAUGGGAAAAGUUAUGGGAUGACAGAAAAGGUGAGUAAGGAGGUCAGCAGGGUGGCUAUUUUGGAUCCACCACUGGUCUAAGGAGAAGGUGGACCAGUCGUUGGGGCGUGGGGUAUGGCAAUCCAAACGCCAGCAAUCUUUAUGGUGCCAGAAAUCCUAAACGGGUGAAUGUCUUCCACACCCUUCCCCAUAACAACACCUAAUUUGUUUCUGACAGGAAAGGCAGGACUGGGAUGGCCAGCCCAACCGACUAAUGAGGAAUUUGACCUCCUGGGAUAGAAAAUCUGUACUAAGGACCUUGAAGAAGUCCUUGCCCAGUCAUUUUGGGCAGUAUCGACGAUCCGACAUAUGAAAUUUAGACAGACACUAAACAGGACAAUAGGCACUGGGGUAUAUAAACAAGCAUGGCAAUUUUUAUAGACAGACAAGGGGAGGGGGUCCCGUGAUGGGAUCAGUCAGAUGCCCUCCUGGCUGCUCCCCUUUCGGGGACUUAGGCUCCUCUUGGCAUUGGCAGGCUGGUAUAAACCCCUGGCUUGGAUCGAGCUAUGCCUGAUGCCGCCCUAAGCCUUAUGAGGUCACCACGGAACCACAGGUGAGGGCCUUCUCGAAUUCCCUAGCUUUCACCCUGGAGCUACAAACUGGAAAUUCAAGCGCAAGCCCUUGAACUCCACAUUCACUCACUCACUCACUCACUCAGAGUUUAUUACAAUUUUUAUACCCAUUCUAAAACAGAGAUCUCCCGGAGACCUGAAUGAGAGAGGGAGAAGAGAUAGAGAGAGAGAGAGACUAGACUUAACAGAGAAUCCUGACAGAAACCAGGACUCUGUCCUCCAGUGUCCUGGAGCAUGGACAGAGUCUGAGGGAGGACCUUCGUCAGGGCCGUUUCCCUCCCAGAGAGACAGAGUCAGAUCUGACUUACCU